AUGUACCCCUUACACUCCGGUUCCUCCGCGCCGCCGGCCGCAUCCACCUGACAACAACUGCUCGCUACGUUUUAUUAGCU
Molecule: small RNA, 80 nt
Filed under: Xanthomonas campestris
Lineage: Bacteria; Pseudomonadati; Pseudomonadota; Gammaproteobacteria; Lysobacterales; Lysobacteraceae
Also listed under: 6 other names
Description: sRNA sX9
Rfam family: Xanthomonas sRNA sX9
Source: RNAcentral